UACGGAGGGGGCUAGCGUUGUUCGGAAUUACUGGGCGUAAAGGGCUCGUAGGCGGCCAACUAAGUCAGACGUGAAAUCCCUCGGCUUAACCGGGGAACUGCGUCUGAUACUGGAUGGCUUGAGUUUGGGAGAGGGAUGCGGAAUUCCAGGUGUAGCGGUGAAAUGCGUAGAUAUCUGGAGGAACACCGGUGGCGAAGGCGGCAUCCUGGACCAACACUGACGCUGAGACGCGAAAGCGUGGGGAGCGAACAGG
RNAcentral lists this ribosomal RNA (253 nucleotides) under uncultured bacterium. RNAcentral describes it as "partial 16S ribosomal RNA". It matches the Rfam family "Bacterial small subunit ribosomal RNA", at positions 524 to 776 of the family's 1533-position model. The record is from RNAcentral.